ACGAAUGAAGGAAUAUUAAUACUAUACUCACUAUGAUUGAUAUAUGUGAAUGGGGAUAUUUAUUUCAACUUUUCACACGUUGUCAAUGUCUGUCACAUAAAUAAUACAUAGGAGCUGAUGUGAUUGUACUGUAGUUAAUGUUUUCUUUUUAUUUGAGUAAGACUGACUGAGGGUGACAAUAUCAGUUGUAGUCAAUGAGUAAGUAGGACUAUGGAAGCCAGAAUUUCAAUGUUG
This 234-nucleotide long non-coding RNA is filed under the name Glycine max (soybean). RNAcentral's name for it is "long non-coding RNA (GMAX_LNC003337)". Lineage: Eukaryota; Viridiplantae; Streptophyta; Magnoliopsida; Fabales; Fabaceae. The record is from RNAcentral.